This 497-nucleotide ribosomal RNA is filed under the name uncultured bacterium. RNAcentral describes it as "partial 16S ribosomal RNA". It matches the Rfam family "Bacterial small subunit ribosomal RNA", at positions 28 to 507 of the family's 1533-position model. The record is from RNAcentral.
GACGAACGCUGGCGGCGUGCCUAAUACAUGCAAGUCGUACGCUGAAGCUUGGUGCUUGCACCGAGCGGAUGAGUUGCGAACGGGUGAGUAACGCGUAGGUAACCUGCCUGGUAGCGGGGGAUAACUAUUGGAAACGAUAGCUAAUACCGCAUAAGAGUAGAUGUUGCAUGACAUUUGCUUAAAAGGUGCAAUUGCAUCACUACCAGAUGGACCUGCGUUGUAUUAGCUAGUUGGUGAGGUAACGGCUCACCAAGGCAACGAUACAUAGCCGACCUGAGAGGGGGGUCGGCCACCCUGGGACGGGGACACGGCCCAGACGCCUACGGGAGGCAGCAGUAGGGAACCUUCGGCAACGGACGGAAGUCUGACCGAGCAACGCCGCGUGAGUGAAGAAGGGUUUCGGAUCGGAAAGCUCGGUUGUAAGAGAAGAACGAGUGUGAGAGUGGAAAGUUCACACUGUGACGGUAGCUGAUCAGAAAGGGACGGCUAACUACGUG